CCUACGGGAGGCAGCAGUGGGGAAUAUUGGACAAUGGGCGCAAGCCUGAUCCAGCAAUGCCGCGUGAGUGAUGAAGGCCUUCGGGUCGUAAAGCUCUUUUACCCGGGAUGAUAAUGACAGUACCGGGAGAAUAAGCUCCGGCUAACUCCGUGCCAGCAGCCGCGGUAAUACGGAGGGAGCUAGCGUUGUUCGGAAUUACUGGGCGUAAAGCGCACGUAGGCGGUUAUUCAAGUCAGAGGUGAAAGCCCGGGGCUCAACCCCGGAACUGCCUUUGAAACUAGA
RNAcentral lists this ribosomal RNA (282 nucleotides) under uncultured bacterium. RNAcentral's name for it is "partial 16S ribosomal RNA". It matches the Rfam family "Bacterial small subunit ribosomal RNA", at positions 338 to 637 of the family's 1533-position model. The record is from RNAcentral.